UACGGAGGGAGCUAGCGUUAUUCGGAAUUACUGGGCGUAAAGCGCACGUAGGCGGCUUUGCAAGUUAGAGGUGAAAGCCUGGAGCUCAACUCCAGAACUGCCUUUAAAACUGCAUCGCUUGAAUCCAGGAGAGGUGAGUGGAAUUCCGAGUGUAGAGGUGAAAUUCGUAGAUAUUCGGAAGAACACCAGUGGCGAAGGCGGCUCACUGGACUGGUAGUUGACGCUGAGGUGCGAAAGCGUGGGGAGCA
RNAcentral lists this ribosomal RNA (248 nucleotides) under uncultured bacterium. RNAcentral's name for it is "partial 16S ribosomal RNA". It matches the Rfam family "Bacterial small subunit ribosomal RNA", at positions 524 to 770 of the family's 1533-position model. The record is from RNAcentral.